This 584-nucleotide ribosomal RNA is filed under the name bacterium. RNAcentral's name for it is "bacterial SSU rRNA". It matches the Rfam family "Bacterial small subunit ribosomal RNA", at positions 127 to 684 of the family's 1533-position model. The record is from RNAcentral.
UACCUAUAAGACUGGGAUAACUUUGGAGAAACCGGAGCUAAUACCGGAUAAUAUAUUGAACCGCAUGGUUCAAUAGUGAAAGACGGUUUUGCUGUCACUUAUAGAUGGAUCCGCGCCGCAUUAGCUAGUUGGUAAGGUAACGGCUUACCAAGGCAACGAUGCGUAGCCGACCUGAGAGGGUGAUCGGCCACACUGGAACUGAGACACGGUCCAGACUCCUACGGGAGGCAGCAGUAGGGAAUCUUCCGCAAUGGGCGAAAGCCUGACGGAGCAACGCCGCGUGAGUGAUGAAGGUCUUCGGAUCGUAAAACUCUGUUAUUAGGGAAGAACAAAUGUGUAAGUAACUAUGCACGUCUUGACGGUACCUAAUCAGAAAGCCACGGCUAACUACGUGCCAGCAGCCGCGGUAAUACGUAGGUGGCAAGCGUUAUCCGGAAUUAUUGGGCGUAAAGCGCGCGUAGGCGGUUUUUUUAAGGUCUGAUGUGAAAGCCCACGGGCUCAACCGUGGAGGGGUCAUUGGAAAACUGGGAAAAACCUUGAAGUGCCAGAAAGAGGGAAAAGUGGAAUUCCCAUGUGUGAGCCGG